This 253-nucleotide ribosomal RNA is filed under the name uncultured bacterium. RNAcentral describes it as "partial 16S ribosomal RNA". It matches the Rfam family "Bacterial small subunit ribosomal RNA", at positions 524 to 776 of the family's 1533-position model. The record is from RNAcentral.
GACAGAGGCCCCAAGCGUUAGGCGGAAUCACUGGGCUUAAAGCGUGUGUAGGCGGACGCCUAAGUGUCUUGUGAAAUCCCACGGCUCACCCGUGGAACUGCUGGGCAUACUGGGCGUCUUGGGCCAACUAGGGGCAGCCGGAACAAGCGGUGGAGCGGUGAAAUGCGCAGAUAUCAGGAGGAACACCGGUGGCGAAGGCGGGUCUCUGGGCCGAAACUGACGCUGAGGAGCGAAAGCGUGGGGAGCAAACAGG